RNAcentral lists this ribosomal RNA (472 nucleotides) under uncultured bacterium. Its description in RNAcentral is "SSU rRNA". It matches the Rfam family "Bacterial small subunit ribosomal RNA", at positions 26 to 518 of the family's 1533-position model. The record is from RNAcentral.
AGGAUAAACGCUGGCGGCGUGCCUAACACAUGCAAGUCGAACGCGCUUUCGGGCUUCGGUGCGAGAGCGAGUGGCGGACGGGUGAGUAACACAUGGGUACCUACCUUGGAGUGAGGGAUACCGGCGAGAAAUCGCCGACAAUACCGCAUAGGCUUCUUCACAAGGGAAGCAAAGUGACGCGAGUCACGCUUUGAGAUGGGCCUGUGGCCGAUUAGCUAGUUGGGGGGGUAACGGCUUCCCAAGGCGACGAUCGGUAGCUGGUCUGAGAGGACGAUCAGCCACACUGGGAUUGAGAACGGCCCAGACUCCUACGGGGGGCAGCAGUGAGGAAUUUUCCGCAAUGGAGGCAACUCUGACGGAGCAACGCCGCGUGCAGGAGGAGGUUUUCGGAUCGUAAACUGCUUUUCUCGGGGACGAGCGAAGGACGGUACCCGGAGGAAGAAGCCCCGGCUAACUACGUGCCAGCAGCCGC